This 480-nucleotide ribosomal RNA is filed under the name Escherichia coli. RNAcentral describes it as "partial 23S ribosomal RNA". It matches the Rfam family "Bacterial large subunit ribosomal RNA", at positions 474 to 955 of the family's 2925-position model. Lineage: Bacteria; Pseudomonadati; Pseudomonadota; Gammaproteobacteria; Enterobacterales; Enterobacteriaceae. The record is from RNAcentral.
UCCUGACUGACCGAUAGUGAACCAGUACCGUGAGGGAAAGGCGAAAAGAACCCCGGCGAGGGGAGUGAAAAAGAACCUGAAACCGUGUACGUACAAGCAGUGGGAGCACGCUUCGGCGUGUGACUGCGUACCUUUUGUAUAAUGGGUCAGCGACUUAUAUUCUGUAGCAAGGUUAACCGAAUAGGGGAGCCGAAGGGAAACCGAGUCUUAACUGGGCGUUAAGUUGCAGGGUAUAGACCCGAAACCCGGUGAUCUAGCCAUGGGCAGGUUGAAGGUUGGGUAACACUAACUGGAGGACCGAACCGACUAAUGUUGAAAAAUUAGCGGAUGACUUGUGGCUGGGGGUGAAAGGCCAAUCAAACCGGGAGAUAGCUGGUUCUCCCCGAAAGCUAUUUAGGUAGCGCCUCGUGAAUUCAUCUCCGGGGGUAGAGCACUGUUUCGGCAAGGGGGUCAUCCCGACUUACCAACCCGAUGCAAACU